GUGGGGAAUCUUGCGCAAUGGGCGAAAGCCUGACGCAGCCAUGCCGCGUGAAUGAUGAAGGUCUUAGGAUUGUAAAAUUCUUUCACCGGGGACGAUAAUGACGGUACCCGGAGAAGAAGCCCCGGCUAACUUCGUGCCAGCAGCCGCGGUAAUACGAAGGGGGCAAGCGUUGCUCGGAAUUACUGGGCGUAAAGGGCGCGUAGGCGGAUCGUUAAGUCAGGGGUGAAAUCCCAGAGCUCAACUCUGGAACUGCCCUUGAUACUGGCGAUCUUGAGUGUGAGAGAGGUAUGUGGAACUCCGAGUGUAGAGGUGAAAUUCGUAGAUAUUCGGAAGAACACCAGUGGCGAAGGCGACAUACUGGCUCAUUACUGACGCUGAGGCGCGAAAGCGUGGGGAGCAAACAGGAUUAGAAACCCCAGUAGUCC
This 425-nucleotide ribosomal RNA is filed under the name uncultured bacterium. RNAcentral's name for it is "partial 16S ribosomal RNA". It matches the Rfam family "Bacterial small subunit ribosomal RNA", at positions 354 to 796 of the family's 1533-position model. The record is from RNAcentral.